CGGAAAAAUGGCCAAAAGACGGGUGGGCUAUAGCCUUGGUGGGGGGAGUGGGCGAAGUUCGUCCGCGGGACUCGGAAUGGCACCAUACUUGGCGGGCGGCCUCCGUUUGCCAAAAAUAUGCCACGGGCACAGCCGCGCCCAAAAAUCAGCCCCCGAAGGUCGGGGACCCAAGACCCCCCAGUGGAAAAAUGGCCAAAAGACGGGUGGGCUAUAGCCUUGGUGGGGGGAGUGGGCAAAGUUCGUCCGCGGGACUUGGAAUUGCACCAUACUUGGCGGGCGGCCUCCGUUUGCCAAAAAUAGGCCACGGGCACAGCCGCGCCCAAAAAUCAGCCCCCGAAGGUCGGGGACCCAAGACCCCCCAGCGGAAAAAUGGCCAAAAGACGGGUGGGCUAUAGCCUUGGUGGGGGGAGUGGGCGAAGUUCGUCCGCGGGAAUCGGAAUGGCACCAUACUUGGCGGGCGGCCUCCGUGAGCCAAAAAUAGGCCACGGGCACAGCCGCGCCCAAAAAUCAGCCCCCGAAGGUCGGAGUCCCAAGAACCCCCCAGCGGAAAAAUGGCCAAAAAACGGGUGGGCUAUAGCCUUGGUGGGGGGCGUGGGCGAAGUUCGUCCGCGGGACUCGGAAUGGCCCCAGACUUGGCGGACAGCCUCCGUGUGCCAAAAAUAGGCCACGGGCACAGCCGUGCCCAAAAAUCAGCCCCCGAAGGUCGGGGUCCCAAGACCCCCCAGAGGAAAAAUGGCCAAAAGACGGGUGGGCUAUAGCCUUGGUGGGGGGAGUGGGCGAAGUUCGUCCGCGGGACUCGGAAUGGCACCAUACUUGGCGGGCGGCCUCCGUGUGCCAAAAAUAGGCGAAGUUCGUCCGCGGGACUCGGAAUGGCACCAUACUUGGCGGGCGGCCUCCGUUUGCCAAAAAUAGGCCACGGGCACAGCCGCGCCCAAAAAUCAGCCCCCGAAGGUCGGGGUCCCAAGACCCCCCAGCGGAAAAAUGGCCAAAAGACGGGUGGGCUAUAGCCUUGGUGGGGGGAGUGGGCGAAGUUCGUCCGCGGGACUCGGAAUGGCACCAUACUUGGCGGGCUGCCUCCGUGUGCCAAAAAUAGGCCACGGGCACAGCCGUGCCCAAAAAUCAGCCCCCGAAGGUUGGGGUCCCAAGACCCCCCAGCGGAAAAAUGGCCAAAAAAAGGGUGGGCUAUAGCCUUGGUGGGGGGCGUGGGCGAAGUUCGUCCGCGGGACUCGGAAUGGCCCCAGACUUGGCGGGCGGCCUUCGUGUGCCAAAAAUAGGCCACGGGCACAGCCGCGCCCAAAAAUCAGCCCCCGAAGGUCGGGGUCCCAAGACCACCCAGCGGAAAAAUGGCCAAAAAAAGGGUGGGCUAUAGCCUUGGUGGGGGGCGUGGGCGAAGUUUGUCCGCGGGACUCGGAAUGGCCCCAGNNNNNNNNNNNNNNNNNNNNNNNNNNNNNNNNNNNNNNNNNNNNNNNNNNNNNNNNNNNNNNNNNNNNNNNNNNNNNNNNNNNNNNNNNNNNNNNNNNNNNNNNNNNNNNNNNNNGGGUGGGCUAUAGCCUAUGUGGGGGGCGUGGGCGAAGUUCGUCCGCCGGACUCGGAAUGGCCCCAGACUUGGCGGGCGGCCUCCGUGUGCCAAAAAUAGGCCACGGGCACAGCCGCCCCCAAAAAUCAGCCCCCGAAGGUCGGGGUCCCAAGUCCCCCAGCGGAAAAAUGGCAAAAAAACGGGUGGGCUAUAGCCUUGGUGGGGGGCGUGGGCGAAGUUCGUCCGCCGGACUCGGAAUGGCCCCAGACUGGGCGGGCGGCCUCUGUGUGCCAAAAAUAGGCCACGGGCACAGCCGCGCCCAAAAAUCAGCCCCCGAAGGUCGGGGUCCCAAGACCCCCCAGCGAAAAAAUGGCCAAAAAAAGGGUGGGCUAUAGCCUUGGUGGGGGGCGUGGGCGAAGUUCGUCCGCGGGACUCAGAAUGGCCCCAGACUUGGCGGGCGGCCUCCGUGUGCCAAAAAUAGGCCACGGGCACAGCCGCGCCCAAAAAUCAGCCCCCGAAGGUCAGGGUCCCAAGACCCCCCAGCGGAAAAAUGGCCAAAAAACUGGUGGGCUAUAGCCUUGGCGCGGGGCGUGGGCGAAGUUCGUCCGCCGGACUCGGAAUGGCCCCAGACAUGGCGGGCGGCCUCCAUGUGCCAAAAAUGGGCCACGGGCACAGCCGCGCCCAAAAAUCAGCCCCCGAAGGUCGGGGUCGGGCGGCCUCCGUGUGCCAAAAAUGGGCCACGGGCACAGCCGCGCCCAAAAAUCAGCCCCCGAAGGUCGGGGUCCCAAGAACCCCCAGCGGAAAAAUGGCCAAAAAAUGGGGGGGCUAUAGCCUUGGUGGGCGGCAUGGGCGAAGUUCGUCCGCGGGACUCAGAAUGGCUCCAGACAUGGCGGGCGGCCACCGUGUGCCAAAAAUAGGCCACGGGCACAGCCGCGCCCAAAAAUCAGCCCCCGAAGGUCGGGGUCCCAAGACCCCCCAGCGGAAAAAUGGCCAAAAAACGGGUGGGCUAUAGCCUUGGUGGGGGGCGUGGCGAAGUUCGUCCGCCGGACUCGGAAUGGCCCCAGACUUGGCGGUCGGCCUCCGCGUGCCAAAAAUAGGCCACGGGCACAGCCGCGCCCAAAAAUCAGCCCCCGAAGGUCGGGGUCCCAAGACCCCCCAGCGGAAAAAUGGCCAAAAAACGGGUGGGCUAUAGCCUUGGUGGGGGGCGUGGGCGAAAAUCGUCCGCCGCACUCGGAAUGGCCCCAGACUUGGCGGGCGGCCUCCGUGUGCCAAAAAUAGGCCACGGGCACAGCCGCGCCCAAAAAUCAGCCCCCGAAGGUCAGGGUCCCAAGACCCCCCAGCGGAAAAAUGGCCAAAAAAGGGUGGGCUA
RNAcentral lists this long non-coding RNA (2885 nucleotides) under Citrus x clementina. RNAcentral's name for it is "Citrus clementina (C. clementina) long non-coding RNA (CCLE_LNC006139)". Lineage: Eukaryota; Viridiplantae; Streptophyta; Magnoliopsida; Sapindales; Rutaceae. The record is from RNAcentral.